AGUGAACGCUGGCGGUAGGCCUAACACAUGCAAGUCGAACGGCAGCACAGUAAGAGCUUGCUCUUACGGGUGGCGAGUGGCGGACGGGUGAGGAAUACAUCGGAAUCUACUUUUUCGUGGGGGAUAACGUAGGGAAACUUACGCUAAUACCGCAUACGACCUACGGGUGAAAGCAGGGGAUCUUCGGACCUUGCGCGAUUGAAUGAGCCGAUGUCGGAUUAGCUAGUUGGCGGGGUAAAGGCCCACCAAGGCGACGAUCCGUAGCUGGUCUGAGAGGAUGAUCAGCCACACUGGAACUGAGACUCGGUCCAGAGUCCUAGGGGAGGCAGCAGUGGGGAAUAUUGGACACUGGGUGCAAGCCUGAUCCAGCCAUACCGCGUGGGUGCAGCAGGCCUUCGGGUUGUAAAGCCCUUUUGUUGGGAAAGAAAAGCAGCAGUUUAAUACCACGCUGUUCUGACGGUACCCAAAGAAUAAGCACAGGCUAACUUCGUG
This 492-nucleotide ribosomal RNA is filed under the name uncultured bacterium. RNAcentral describes it as "partial 16S ribosomal RNA". It matches the Rfam family "Bacterial small subunit ribosomal RNA", at positions 29 to 507 of the family's 1533-position model. The record is from RNAcentral.